AAGACGAACUUGUCCCUGUAGAAGUUGCGAUAAAAUUCGCCGAAGCUGUGAAGAAAAGCGGAUGGGAAGGCGAAAUUGAAUCGAUUAUAGUUGAAGGUGAAGGUCAUUGCUUUCACUGUGAAAAUCCUCAAGCUGAAAAAUCCAAAGAUUUGAUCAAACGUAUAGUUUCUUUCAUCCAACGUGAUUAACAUUUGUUUUUACAAAUUAUUAUUAUUUGCACUCGUAACGAGUUUCCUCGAGAAACAAU
This 247-nucleotide unclassified non-coding RNA is filed under the name Hevea brasiliensis (rubber tree). The record is from RNAcentral. Lineage: Eukaryota; Viridiplantae; Streptophyta; Magnoliopsida; Malpighiales; Euphorbiaceae.